RNAcentral lists this ribosomal RNA (392 nucleotides) under uncultured delta proteobacterium. Its description in RNAcentral is "bacterial SSU rRNA". It matches the Rfam family "Bacterial small subunit ribosomal RNA", at positions 600 to 990 of the family's 1533-position model. The record is from RNAcentral. Lineage: Bacteria; Deltaproteobacteria.
GCCCGGGGCUCAACCCCGGACGUGCAUUUGAAACAGCAAGACUUGAAUACUGGAGAGGAAAGCGGAAUUCCUGGUGUAGAGGUGAAAUUCGUAGAUAUCAGGAGGAACACCGAUGGCGAAGGCAGCUUUCUGGACAGAUAUUGACGCUGAGGCGCGAAGGCGUGGGUAGCGAACAGGAUUAGAUACCCAGGUAGUCCACGCAGUAAACGAUGUACACUAGGUGUAGGGGAUAUUAAAAUUUCCUGUGCCGCAGCUAACGCAUUAAGUGUACCGCCUGGGGAGUACGGUCGCAAGACUAAAACUCAAAGGAAUUGACGGGGGCCCGCACAAGCGGUGGAGCAUGUGGUUUAAUUCGACGCAACGCGAAAAACCUUACCUGGGUUUGACAUCCU